Molecule: non-coding RNA, 566 nt
Organism: Phasianus colchicus (ring-necked pheasant)
Lineage: Eukaryota; Metazoa; Chordata; Aves; Galliformes; Phasianidae
Source: RefSeq, a predicted model, not a curated record
CCCCAUCAGGUCCUGCUGUGUCCCUAUAGAUGAACCCAACAGGUAGCAUUGGCUGUGUCCCCAUAGGUGUCACCCAUGGGGCACCACCACAUUGUCACAUGUGCCACCCAUGGGGUACCACCGGUCGUGUGUCCCUAUAGCUGUCCCCCAUCAGGUAGCAGUGGUUGUGUCCCUAUAGGUGUCACCCAUGGGGCACCGUGAGCUGUGUCCCUAUAGGUGUCCCCCAUCAGGUAGCAGUGGUUGUGUCCCUAUAGGUGUCACCCAUGGGGCACCAUGAGCUGUGUCCCUAUAGAUGCCCCCAUCAGGUAGCACUGGUUGUGUCCCUAUAAGUGUCACCCAUGGGGCACCAUGAGCUGUGUCCCUAUAGGUGUCCCCCAUCAGGUAGCACUGGUUGUGUCCCUAUAAGUGUCACCCAUCAGGUAGCACCGGCUGUGUCCCUACAGACGUCCCCCAUCGGGUACCACCACCACCCCCAUCACACCGCCGUCAGUCCGCUCACCCCUCCGAAAGUCCCGUGGGACGUUCCCACCCUGCACCCAUGGGUGCUACGCUUGUGCCCCCGCCGC